Long non-coding RNA from Cylas formicarius (sweet potato weevil), 1285 nucleotides. RefSeq lists it as uncharacterized. The transcript is spliced from 3 exons. The record is from RefSeq and is a predicted model, not a curated record. NCBI's taxonomy places the organism in Eukaryota, Metazoa, Arthropoda, Insecta, Coleoptera, Brentidae.
CAAUAACACUUUUUAUAAAACUACUGGAUAUUACGUGUACCCAAGAGUAUAAGAUAGAGGAGAAGGCUCCCAUUAGCUGGGAUAAUACAGGCAAUAGGAAUCAGUUGGCAAUGGUGAUCAGCCCAAACUAAAGGCAACCAACCGACGAGAACUUCACUACGCGCUAGCAUUACUCGAUUCUCGAACGUUGCCGUUGACUGUGGCAUGUGUUUGAAAGUUUUAUGCCACUUUCAUCUGAUUUUUAGAAUGGAUAAAUAAGAAGCCAGAAGCUAUCAGCAUCAAUAGGGUUACAGCCUUCGACAAGACUGAAGUACAACGAUUUUACAAGCUGCUGGAAGAACUAAUGGGAAAAUACAAUUUUUUACUGGAAAACAUAUAUAAUUGUGACGAAACCGGCAUCUUCACCGUCCAAGAUCCUGGAAAAAUAUUAUCUGCAACGGGACAUAAGAGAGUAGAGUGCAUAAAAAAAGAAUGAUCCCGAUUCUCGGACAACGGAAGAACUUUUCCUUCAAUGACUCAAGCACUUCACCGGCUAUACCAAACCUUCUGCACAAGAACCAAUCCUGUUAGUCUUGGAUAGUCAUGCAAGCCACAUUUCUCUGGCAAUCUUUGAGUAUUGUAAGAAAAACAAUGUCCAUAUGCUAUCUCUUCCACCCCGUAUAUCCCAUCGCAUGCGGUCACUAGAUGUGUCAUUUUUUAGUCCAUUCAAAGCUGCAUAAAGGAAACAAUGCGAUUUAUUCAUGAAGAGACAAUUUUCACAAAGAAUAAUUGCUUCGUUUUUUUCCGAUGACGCAGCAGAAAUCCUACAAUCCGAGCCAAUUGUUGUUCAAGAUUAUGCAUUCCGUAUCAUCAACAUCUAAGGAUCUGCUAAGUGUUCAAAAUUUCAAUCAUUUGCCUGUUGUCGAGACAAGACAAGGAAGAAAAAAAUAUGACGCAACGAUUUUAACAUGUACACCCUAGUUAAAAAGCUGUGAAAAAGCAAGGAAAAGGGAAAAGAACAGGAAAGAAAAGCAAGCCACCGCAGGUUAGUCGUGAGAAAGUUAAGAAAAUUCUGCAGGACGAUGACAGUUAUGUCAGGAUGACGAAAAUGACGACGCAGAAGAUGCAAACAACUUGUGUCUUGUGUGUGGUGAAUUUGGACGAAACAAUGAAACCGUUGCACUUCUUGUGGGCUCUGGGCUCAUGCUGACUGUAGUGUGAGAUAUGUGCUGAUCACCAUUGCCCACAUGCUGAUCAUCACUGCCAACCGGUGUUGACAAUCGUGAUCAAACGUAUUUUUUUUUCA